UGGAGUGUGACAAUGGUGUUUGUUGUCUGAGCUUUCAAACGCCAUUAUCACACUAAAUA
Gadus morhua (Atlantic cod) is the source of this 59-nucleotide microRNA precursor. The record is from Ensembl. NCBI's taxonomy places the organism in Eukaryota, Metazoa, Chordata, Actinopteri, Gadiformes, Gadidae.